Columba livia (rock pigeon) is the source of this 2145-nucleotide long non-coding RNA. RefSeq lists it as uncharacterized. The transcript is spliced from 3 exons. The record is from RefSeq and is a predicted model, not a curated record. NCBI's taxonomy places the organism in Eukaryota, Metazoa, Chordata, Aves, Columbiformes, Columbidae.
CCAGCUCCCUGACUUGUAGUUGUUCGGUUUUUGCUGGGCAUCUUUCUGGGUUUGAUUUCCUGCUCCUCAUUUCCCAAGGACCCACGUCCAUUAAUGGCAAGAGAGUCUAGUGCAGGAUUUGCACUUGUACAGCUCAUCUCAUUGGGGAUUGACCUGAUGAUCCUGUUGUGCAGGAAAGGAAACUCAACCACAUGUCAGUUCAGUAACUUUCUGCCCAGCAUCUCAUGGAAAGUCUGCAGUACAAUAAGUAAACAGCUUCACUGCUCAUCUGGUAACAGUUUGACAUCGUGAAAGCUCCAUUGACCUAAUUCAGGAGAAAUUCAGAGUUAUCUGGAGCUUAUGAUAACUUUUAAGAUAACUUAAAGAGUUCUAAAAUAUCGGAACAUGGUCCCACAAAAUCUUGGUAAUAUGGUCCCACAGCAGACCGUGUCCUGCUCCAUUUAGUCCAUUUUUAUUGUUCUGCUGACAAUAGAUGACAACUCUUUUCUCCUGCAGCAGAAGCACAGGCAGAUCUGUUUCUGGGAAAAACAACCCUCAGGCUGUUCGAGGAUCAGUUGUGCCUUCCAGCACAGCAAGCCUCGAAAUAUAAAUGGACUGUUCCUGCCACCUGAUAACAAUGUGCCGUUGCAACAGGGUGGCCAAGAAAGGACUCUGCAUCCAGCACAUCUUCAAGAAUCACUCAGAAACCAAGAGAAUAUUUCCCUACCAGUUCAUGCUCCACUGAUUAUAAGGCUCAACAAUGCUGAAGAUGAACAGGACGAUGAAGAGGAUGAUGACAAAGAGAACUAUGUUUCUAAUUGGGUGCCUAAGACUGCUGCAGAAAUUGAAGAGGAAAGAACCAUAAAGGAAAUAUGCUAUAAAACUGGUAAAUACGAAAUCAGUCAGUCUUUCCUAAACAGCAAUGAAGACAAUAUACUAAGCCUUUUAUUUUAUUUUAUUUUAUUUUAUUUUAUUUUAUUUUAUUUUAUUUUAUUUUAUUUUAUUUUAUUUUAUUUUAUUUUAUUUUAUUUAUUUUAUUUUCCUUUUUGGCUGUGUUUAGGAGAGUAUUACAGGAUGCAGCACCCCCACAAACACCAAUCAACAGAAACUGUGUCUUCACCUCAGGAAAAGGAAAUAUUACUCUUGGAAGCUAUGGAGCGAGACUUACAGAAAGGCAAGUAAUAUCCAUCUUCUCAGACAAUAUUUACCAGUAAUAUUUACCAUUUAUUUUUCCCCACAUAUAUACACAUACAUAGUGUCUCAGACAUGGUGACUACCUGUAUUGAUUGUGGAUGCAAAGGGUAGAAAUGGGCUGUAAAACCUACGUGUGCUAUCUGGAGAUACACAACCAUUCCAUAAAUUGGAUCAGAUAGGAUUCAUAAAUAUCAUUCAUGCAAAGUGAGGAGUUAAAGAAUGAGCAGGUUAUUUGUAGCUCGUUCUUUACUUUGGAGCCGUAGCUUUGCUUUAACCUGUGUGUUAUAGAAUUGUCUUAGAGACCAUGAGAGUUGUACCUCAGUUACAGCAGACAGGAUCCAAACAUCCAAGAAAAUACAAAGAAGAAUAUAAGAGGAGAGGCUAAAGGAAAUUGCACUAAACUAAUCACUAUCUCACAGAGGCGGGAGGAAGAGAAUGGCAGUGCCAUUCCCUGUGCUCACACACCAGCCGCUCACACAUUCUUUCUGUUGCCUCUCCAGGGGAUGGUAAUACAAUUCCUACAACAUUUAAUAAUACAAAAAGAGGAGAGAGCUGGGAAAGGAGAAUACCAACAGAGCGUAUUCCCAGAACGGAUUAUACUAGUUUUAGGAUUAUACUGCAAAGAAAAAUUCCUCUAUGCUCAUUGAAAUUUAUGUUUUCCUGUUUAAUUUUGGGAAAGAAAUGGUUCUGUGGAGUAAGAAACAGAUAUGUCUAUAGUAUAAUACCCUUAGUCACCAGGUACAUCGACAUCGGAGGUGAAUCUGUUAUACGAAGUUUGAAUCUCCCGCCAUUCAUUGGUAUUUCUGCAAUGCUGUUUGUCACCUUAUCAGCAAUGCCCGUUCAGCUGUUAAAAUUAUGUGUGGGCCCAUGCUGUGAAUUGUAUCACUGAAGUGCCUUAGGAUUGAAGUAAUCCUUUUGUAAGCUGAAGUUAUUUUGUUACGCCACGUUGUUUUAGUUGUUGGGUUUGCAGGA